Molecule: ribosomal RNA, 1082 nt
Filed under: Cimex sp.
Lineage: Eukaryota; Metazoa; Arthropoda; Insecta; Hemiptera; Cimicidae
Description: SSU rRNA
Rfam family: Eukaryotic small subunit ribosomal RNA
Source: RNAcentral
CGCAGUAGUCAUAUGCUUGUUUCAAAGCUUAAGCCAUGCAAGUCUCAGUACAGACUAUAUUAAAGUGAAACCGCAAAAGGCUCAGUAAACCAGUUUUAAUUUACUAGAGUUAACUUGACUGUGCUUGGAUAACUGUGGUAAUUCUAGAGCUAAUACAUGCAACAAAGCCGUGACCAUUCGUGGUCAGGGCGCUUUUAUUAGACCAAGACCAAUCGCCCGGCCAGUCCGGGCGUUAAGUUGAGGAACCUAGAUAACACAGCAGAUCGCAUGGUCUUUGUACCGGCGACCUAUCUUUCAAAUGCCUGACUUAUCAACUGACGAUGGUAGACUCUGUGUCUACCAUGGCUGUUACGGGUAACGGGGAAUCAGGGUUCGAUUCCGGAGAGGGAGCCUGAGAAACGGCUACCACAUCCAAGGAAGGCAGCAGGCACGCAAAUUACCCACUCCCGGAACGGGGAGGUAGUGACAAAAAAUAACGAUACGGGACUCGAUAUGAGGCCUCGUAAUCGGAAUGAGUACACUCUAAAUCCUUUAACAAAAAUCUAUUGGAGGGCAAGUCUGGUGCCAGCAGCCGCGGUAAUUCCAGCUCCAAUAGCGUAUAUUAAAGUUGUUGCGGUUAAAAAGCUCGUAGUUGGUUCUGCGUCCCGCGCUGUCGGUACACCGUUUGUCGGUGACACUGGCAUGACGCGGGAUGUCCUGUCGGUGGCGGCGGAGACCAUAUCGCCGUCGGCUAACACCGCGGCGUGUUGGCCUUCUGUCGCCGGCUUUAUCCUACCGCGGUGCUCUUCACUGAGUGUCGAGGUAGGCCGACACGUUUACUUUGAACAAAUUAGAGUGCUUAAAGCAGGCAAAAAUCUCUGCCAGAAUAGUGGUGCAUGGAAUAAUGGAACAGGACCUUGGUUCUAUUCUGUUGGUCUCCGGAACACAAGGUAAUGAUCAAUGUGGGACAGGCGGGGGGCAUUCGUAUUGCGGCGUUAGAGGUGAAAUUCUUGGGUCGUCGCAAGACGCACUAGAGCGAAAGCAAUUGCCAAGUAUGUCUUAAUUGAUCAAGAACGAAAGUUAGAGGUUCGAAGGCGAUCAGA